This 657-nucleotide long non-coding RNA is filed under the name Homo sapiens (human). Its description in RNAcentral is "non-protein coding lnc-ITPR3-2:2". Lineage: Eukaryota; Metazoa; Chordata; Mammalia; Primates; Hominidae. The record is from RNAcentral.
AGGAGAAUCGCUUGAACCCGGGAAGUGGAGUUUGGAGUGAGCCAAGAUUGUGCCAUUGCACUCCAGCCUAUGCAACAAGAGCAAACUCUGUCAAAAACAAAAACACACACAACAGAUACACUCAGAGAUUGUGCCCUCAAGUCAUAUACUGCACAUGACAAGUACAAAUACCGGAGCUAAAUCCUAAUACUCUCCCCAUUCUAUUUGAGUUUGUUUAUUGAGGCUUCAAGGCACUCAAUAAAUGUUUGCUGAAUGAAUGAAAGAAAGCCAGAAUUCUCAUUUGAUUUCAUAUUAGAGGAAUUGGCCCUAAAACUAUUUAAGAGGCAGACUUGAACUUAUACACAGGUCCCACAACUUAAGCCAUGUCAAAGGACAACAUUAUAACAAAUUUAGCUUAAAGAUCUCAGUUGGCAUUAUUUUCGAUUCUAGAAUCAGGCAACACUUCAUUCCGUAAAAUAGAAUAAAUGUUCCAUGAGCUCAGCAGAAGAUGUUGCCUUUUUUUUUUGAGAUGGAGUCUUACUCUGUCACCCAGGCCAGAGUGCAGUGGCGUGAUCUCGGUUCACUGCAACCUCUGUCUCCUGGGUUCAAGCGAAGUUCAGGCGACUCUCCUGCCUCAGCCUCCUAAGUAGCUGGAAUUAUAGGUGUGUGCCACCAUGU